Molecule: ribosomal RNA, 433 nt
Filed under: uncultured bacterium
Lineage: Bacteria
Description: partial 16S ribosomal RNA
Rfam family: Bacterial small subunit ribosomal RNA
Source: RNAcentral
AGCGAACGCUGGCGGCAGGCCUAACACAUGCAAGUCGAACGAACUCUUCGGAGUUAGUGGCGGACGGGUGAGUAACACGUGGGAACGUGCCUUUUGGUUCGGAAUAACUCAGGGAAACUUGUGCUAAUACCGAAUGUGCCCUUCGGGGGAAAGAUUUAUCGCCAUUUGAGCGGCCCGCGUCUGAUUAGCUUGUUGGUUAGGUAACGGCUCACCAAGGCGACGAUCAGUAGCUGGUCUGAGAGGAUGAACAGCCACACUGGGACUGAGACACGGCCCAGAAUCCUACGGGAGGCAGCAGUGGGGAAUCUUGCGAAAUGGGGGAAAGCAUGACGAAGCCAUGCCGCGUGAAUGAUGAAGGUAUUAGGAUAGUAAAAUUCUUUCAACGGGGACGAUAAUGACGGUACCCGGAGAAGAAGCCCCGGCUAACUUCGUG